This is a non-coding RNA of Ricinus communis (castor bean), 63 nucleotides long. The record is from Rfam. Lineage: Eukaryota; Viridiplantae; Streptophyta; Magnoliopsida; Malpighiales; Euphorbiaceae.
AUGGAAGUGAUGAUUAUUUCCCCAGAUGAUCGACGCUGAACAAACUGAGCGUUUUUAUCUCUU